This 76-nucleotide transfer RNA is filed under the name Frankia sp. Hr75.2. RNAcentral describes it as "tRNA-Arg". It matches the Rfam family "tRNA". From Rfam's summary of the family: Transfer RNA (tRNA) molecules are approximately 80 nucleotides in length. Their secondary structure includes four short double-helical elements and three loops (D, anti-codon, and T loops). Further hydrogen bonds mediate the characteristic L-shaped molecular structure. tRNAs have two regions of fundamental functional importance: the anti-codon, which is responsible for specific mRNA codon recognition, and the 3' end, to which the tRNAs corresponding amino acid is attached (by aminoacyl-tRNA synthetases). tRNAs cope with the degeneracy of the genetic code in two manners: having more than one tRNA (with a specific anti-codon) for a particular amino acid; and 'wobble' base-pairing, i.e. permitting non-standard base-pairing at the 3rd anti-codon position. The record is from RNAcentral. Lineage: Bacteria; Bacillati; Actinomycetota; Actinomycetes; Frankiales; Frankiaceae.
GCCCCUGUAGCUCAGUGGAUAGAGCGACCGCCUCCUAAGCGGUAGGUCGCAGGUUCGAUUCCUGCCAGGGGCACCG